CACUAUAGGGCGAUGAUUUAGCGCCGCGAUCGCCUGUGCAGCAGCCGCGGUAAUUCCAGCUCCAAUAGCGUAUAUUAAAGUUGUUGCAGUUAGAACGCUCGUAGUCGGAUUUCGGGGCAGUCCGACCGGUCUGCCGAUGGGUAUGCACUGGCCGGAGUGUCCUUUUUGCCGGAGACCGUGCCUACUCUUAACUGAGCGGGGGCGGGAGACGGCACUUUUACUUUGAAAAAAUCAGAGUGUUUCAAGCAGGCAGCUCGCUCUUGCAUGGAUUAGCAUGGGAUAAUGAAAUAGGACUUUGGUGCUAUUUUGUUGGUUUCGAACACCGAAGUAAUGAUGAGAAGGGACAGUCAGGGGCACUCGUAUUCCGCAGAGAGAGGUGAAAUUCUCAGACCCGCGGAAGACGAACCACUGCGAAAGCAUUUGCCAGGGAUGUUUUCACUGAUCAAGAACGAAAGUUAGGGGAUCGAAGAUGAUCAGAUACCGUCGUAGUCUUAACCAUAAACCAUGCCGACUAGGGAUUGGAGGAUGUUCACUGAUUGACUCCUUCAGCACCUUACGGGAAACUAAAGUCUUUGGGUUCCGGGGGGAGUAUGGUCGCAAGGCUGAAACUUAAAGGAAUUGACGGAAGGGCACCACCAGGUGUGGAGCCUGCGGCUUAAUUUGACUCAACACGGGGAAACUUACCAGGUCCAGACAUUGUGAGGAUUGACAGAUUGAGAGCUCUUUCUUGAUUCGAUGGGUGGUGGUGCAUGGCCGUUCUUAGUUGGUGGAGUGAUUUGUCUGGUUAAUUCCGUUAACGAACGAGACCUUAGCCUGCUAAAUAGUGACGCGAACUCUUUGUUGGCGGGCCACUUCUUAGAGGGACAACUUGUCUUCACACAAGUGGAAGUUUGAGGCAAUAACAGGUCUGUGAUGCCCAAGGGCGAUCCGUUAACUUGCAGGAC
RNAcentral lists this ribosomal RNA (944 nucleotides) under uncultured eukaryote. RNAcentral's name for it is "SSU rRNA". It matches the Rfam family "Eukaryotic small subunit ribosomal RNA", at positions 528 to 1498 of the family's 1831-position model. The record is from RNAcentral.